This 628-nucleotide long non-coding RNA is filed under the name Lonchura striata (white-rumped munia). Its description in RNAcentral is "domestica (Bengalese finch) lncRNA (ENSLSDG00000011009.1)". Lineage: Eukaryota; Metazoa; Chordata; Aves; Passeriformes; Estrildidae. The record is from RNAcentral.
AGGGAACAUCCAGCUUUUACCAGAAGAUUUCUGCUUUUCUGACCUCUACACGACUUCCAGAUCUUAUCUGGUGGAGAGAUGAACUGGCCAGUCACUUCCAAAGCCAGCUGUGCCCACUUUGUCCUGCAAUUCCCUCUGUCCUGCUCAGUAACAUCACUGCUGUUAAUCCUGACCCUCAGGCUGUGGAGAAGGCAUUUGCAGUGCCAAAGGGAUUUUACUGGCAGACAGUUGAGAGUGAUGACAAACACUUCCCUGACAGCAGUGCCAUGGAAGCUUGCAGAGACACAGACACUGAGGUUGCCAUGGUGCUGCUGUUUGAGGCUCUCUUCCGAAGCCCCCUGGAGACCCAUCACACUCUGCAGCUGCUGCUGGGCUCUGGGCUGGAUGUCUGCGGCCUCCGCCUGCUCUACCCCGGCCAGGACCUGCUGCUCUCCAGCUCAGGUGGGCUCUGCUUCUCCUCCACAGCUUCCAUCGUGCUGAGGAAGGCUCAGAUCUAUAAAUGCACUGAGGUGAAGGGUGAUCAGAGUCAGAUUUGCAUGAGGGCUGCUUUAUCAGUUCCUGUAUCUUUCCCAAAAGAAAUUAGAGAAUAGCUUUGACUGUUUCUUUCUUUCUGUUCCCACUGUUGAAU